CCGCCAUUAUUGCUCUCCAACGGAACAACCGAGAACCUCUCCCUAUUGCUAGGCCUGCACUUAUUGCACGACACGCCGCUCGCCUCCUCCUUUUCCUGCCGCUUCUUCGCCGUCUUGCUGCUCCGCCGGCUCUUCUCGGAAUUCAGUGGCGUCGGAAAGUGCGUGUAAUCGCUGUCUCUCUUCUCCGUGUAGUCGCUCGCCGGAGUUGCUCUGAAACUCAUCCUCCCCUGAGAGAAUUCCUCCUCCUCGUUCCCCUCUUCUAUCUGCCAAAACAAAAUCAAAAAAUCGAUUCCCC
Molecule: long non-coding RNA, 295 nt
Filed under: Salvia miltiorrhiza (redroot sage)
Lineage: Eukaryota; Viridiplantae; Streptophyta; Magnoliopsida; Lamiales; Lamiaceae
Description: long non-coding RNA (SMIL_LNC004027)
Source: RNAcentral